AGUGAACGCUGGCGGUAGGCCUAACACAUGCAAGUCGAACGGCAGCUCAGUAAGAGCUUGCUCUUACGGGUGGCGAGUGGCGGACGGGUGAGGAAUACAUCGGAAUCUACUUUUUCGUGGGGGAUAACGUAGGGAAACUUACGCUAAUACCGCAUACGACCUACGGGUGAAAGCAGGGGAUCUUCGGACCUUUCGCGAUUGAAUGAGCCGAUGUCGGAUUAGCUAGUUGGCGGGGUAAAGGCCCACCAAGGCGACGAUCCGUAGCUGGUCUGAGAGGAUGAUCAGCCACACUGGAACUGAGACACGGUCCAGACUCCUACGGGAGGCAGCAGUAGGGAAUAUUGGACAAUGGGCGCAAGCCUGAUCCAGCCAUACCGCGUGGGUGAAGAAGGCCUUCGGGUUGUAAAGCCCUUUUGUUGGGAAAGAAAAGCAGCAGGUUAAUACCCCGCUGUUCUGACGGUACCCAAAGAAUAAGCACCGGCUAACUUCGUG
RNAcentral lists this ribosomal RNA (492 nucleotides) under uncultured bacterium. Its description in RNAcentral is "partial 16S ribosomal RNA". It matches the Rfam family "Bacterial small subunit ribosomal RNA", at positions 29 to 507 of the family's 1533-position model. The record is from RNAcentral.